GACCUGAUGGUGCAACGGUUAGCACACUUGCUUUAAUUUGACAGUUGGUUAUGAACUUGAAAAAUUAAGCAAGAAACCCCCGUUCGACUCGGGGUCUGGUCG
This is a non-coding RNA of Mycena crocata, 102 nucleotides long. Lineage: Eukaryota; Fungi; Basidiomycota; Agaricomycetes; Agaricales; Mycenaceae. The record is from the annotation of a GenBank genome assembly.